RNAcentral lists this non-coding RNA (667 nucleotides) under Pan troglodytes (chimpanzee). The record is from RNAcentral. Lineage: Eukaryota; Metazoa; Chordata; Mammalia; Primates; Hominidae.
GCCUGAACUUUCUCAUCCAACACCUGUUCAAGUCGGAGGAUGCUGAUUAAUUCAUGAUGGAAAGGUAUCAAUUUCACAGCCCAGACCUCUACAUUCUUGAAAUGCUCUUCUCAUGGGAGACAUUAAAUAAGCUUUGAAUUAACUGAAGAACCAAUGAUGUGAUCCCUGGAUACUGGCAAUUGUUGCCCAAGAAACCCUCUCCCCUUGCUAUGGGAGUGCUGGGCACCCAAAUAAUGCACCCAAAUAAUUUGAUAGCUCUUGUUACACAACUCUUCUUGGACUAAAAGGCCCUCAGCAUUCCUGUCAAUUUCUACACUCCUGAAGCUUCAUCUGACCUCUGUGGAUUCUAUAACUCAAAGACCCAGGCUGACGGCUGGUGGAAUAGCUACCAUCUCAAACAUGGCGUGAUGCUGCAUCAGAGAGAAAAAUAAGCUCUUGCAUUGACAAUGAAAUGUCUACCCUGUAGUGACUUGUGCUUACUUCCACUCACAAGUGAUUGCCCAGAGCUACUUACCUGGCUCCAAUCUACCACUGGGACCUUGUAUUGAAGACAGCGUAACCCCCAAGAGGAAAGGAGCUUGGAGCCCUGAAUCAGAGUAGAAGACAGGCUGAAUGAAUACCAGCCUUGGACUGUUAUGUGAAUGAAAAACAAGUUUUGAGAUUUGUG